AGUGAACGCUGGCGGUAGGCCUAACACAUGCAAGUCGAACGGCAGCACAGUAAGAGCUUGCUCUUACGGGUGGCGAGUGGCGGACGGGCGAGGAAUACAUCGGAAUCUACUUUUUCGUGGGGGAUAACGUAGGGAAACUUACGCUAAUACCGCAUACGACCUACGGGUGAAAGCAGGGGAUCUUCGGACCUUGCGCGAUUGAAUGAGCCGAUGUCGGAUUAGCUAGUUGGCGGGGUAAAGGCCCACCAAGGCGACGAUCCGUAGCUGGUCUGAGAGGAUGAUCAGCCACACUGGAACUGAGACACGGUCCAGACUCCUACGGGAGGCAGCAGUGGGGAAUAUUGGACAAUGGGCGCAAGCCUGAUCCAGCCAUACCGCGUGGGUGAAGAAGGCCUUCGGGUUGUAAAGCCCUUUUGUUGGGAAAGAAAAGCAGCAGGUUAAUACCCCGCUGUUCUGACGGUACACAAAGAAUAAGCACCGGCUAACUUCGUG
This 492-nucleotide ribosomal RNA is filed under the name uncultured bacterium. RNAcentral describes it as "partial 16S ribosomal RNA". It matches the Rfam family "Bacterial small subunit ribosomal RNA", at positions 29 to 507 of the family's 1533-position model. The record is from RNAcentral.